RNAcentral lists this ribosomal RNA (483 nucleotides) under uncultured bacterium. RNAcentral's name for it is "partial 16S ribosomal RNA". It matches the Rfam family "Bacterial small subunit ribosomal RNA", at positions 30 to 506 of the family's 1533-position model. The record is from RNAcentral.
AUUGAACGCUGGCGGCAGGCCUAACACAUGCAAGUCGAGCGGAUGAAGGGAGCUUGCUCCUGGAUUCAGCGGCGGACGGGUGAGUAAUGCCUAGGAAUCUGCCUGGUAGUGGGGGAUAACGUCCGGAAACGGGCGCUAAUACCGCAUACGUCCUGAGGGAGAAAGUGGGGGAUCUUCGGACCUCACGCUAUCAGAUGAGCCUAGGUCGGAUUAGCUAGUUGGUGGGGAAAAGGCCUACCAAGGCGACGAUCCGUAACUGGUCUGAGAGGAUGAUCAGUCACACUGGAACUGAGACACGGUCCAGACUCCUACGGGAGGCAGCAGUGGGGAAUAUUGGACAAUGGGCGAAAGCCUGAUCCAGCCAUGCCGCGUGUGCGAAGAAGGUCUUCGGAUUGUAAAGCACUUUAAGUUGGGAGGAAGGGCAGUAAGUUAAUACCUUGCUGUUUUGACGUUACCAACAGAAUAAGCACCGGCUAACUUCGU